RNAcentral lists this ribosomal RNA (709 nucleotides) under uncultured bacterium. RNAcentral's name for it is "bacterial SSU rRNA". It matches the Rfam family "Bacterial small subunit ribosomal RNA", at positions 57 to 816 of the family's 1533-position model. The record is from RNAcentral.
GCAAGUCGAACGCUCACCUUCGGGUGGGAGUGGCAGACGGGUGAGUAACACGUGGGAACGUACCCUUUGGUUCGGGACAACUCUGGGAAACUGGAGCUAAUACCGGAUACGCCCUUUUGGGGAAAGGUUUACUGCCGAAGGAUCGGCCCGCGUCUGAUUAGCUAGUUGGUGGGGUAACGGCCUACCAAGGCGACGAUCAGUAGCUGGUCUGAGAGGAUGAUCAGCCACACUGGGACUGAGACACGGCCCAGACUCCUACGGGAGGCAGCAGUGGGGAAUAUUGGACAAUGGGCGCAAGCCUGAUCCAGCCAUGCCGCGUGAGUGAUGAAGGCCUUAGGGUUGUAAAGCUCUUUUAUCGGGACGAUAAUGACGGUACCGGAGGAAUAAGCCCCGGCUAACUUCGUGCCAGCAGCCGCGGUAAUACGAAGGGGGCUAGCGUUGCUCGGAAUCACUGGGCGUAAAGGGCGCGUAGGCGGCGUUUUAAGUCGGGGGUGAAAGCCUGUGGCUCACCACAGAAUGGCUUCGAUACUGGGACGCUUGAGUCUGGUAGAGGUUGGUGGAACUGCGAGUGUAGAGGUGAAAUCGUAGAUAUUCCCAAGAACACCGGUGGCGAAAGCGGCCACUGGACGGCCCUGACGCUGAGGCGCGAAAGCGUGGGGAGCCAACAGGAUUAGAUACCCUGGUAGUCCACGCUGUAAACGAUGAAUGC